RNAcentral lists this ribosomal RNA (1337 nucleotides) under uncultured bacterium. Its description in RNAcentral is "bacterial SSU rRNA". It matches the Rfam family "Bacterial small subunit ribosomal RNA", at positions 28 to 1381 of the family's 1533-position model. The record is from RNAcentral.
GACGAACGCUGGCGGCGUGCUUAACACAUGCAAGUCGAACGGAAAGGCCCUUCGGGGUACUCGAGUGGCGAACGGGUGAGUAACACGUGGGUGAUCUGCCCUGCACUUUGGGAUAAGCCUGGGAAACUGGGUCUAAUACCGAAUAGGACCACGCGCUUCAUGGUGUGUGGUGGAAAGCUUUUGCGGUGUGGGAUGGGCCCGCGGCCUAUCAGCUUGUUGGUGGGGUAAUGGCCUACCAAGGCGACGACGGGUAGCCGGCCUGAGAGGGUGACCGGCCACACUGGGACUGAGAUACGGCCCAGACUCCUACGGGAGGCAGCAGUGGGGAAUAUCGCACAAUGGGCGCAAGCCUGAUGCAGCGACGCCGCGUGAGGGAUGACGGCCUUCGGGUUGUAAACCUCUUUCAAUAGGGACGAAGCGUGAGUGACGGUACCUAUAGAAGAAGCACCGGCCAACUACGUGCCAGCAGCCGCGGUAAUACGUAGGGUGCGAGCGUUGUCCGGAAUUACUGGGCGUAAAGAGCUCGUAGGUGGUUUGUCGCGUUGUUCGUGAAAACUCACAGCUUAACUGUGGGCGUGCGGGCGAUACGGGCAGACUAGAGUACUGCAGGGGAGACUGGAAUUCCUGGUGUAGCGGUGGAAUGCGCAGAUAUCAGGAGGAACACCGGUGGCGAAGGCGGGUCUCUGGGCAGUAACUGACGCUGAGGAGCGAAAGCGCGGGGAGCGAACAGGAUUAGAUACCCUGGUAGUCCACGCCGUAAACGGUGGGUACUAGGUGUGGGUUCCUUCCUUGGGAUCCGUGCCGUAGCUAACGCAUUAAGUACCCCGCCUGGGGAGUACGGCCGCAAGGCUAAAACUCAAAGGAAUUGACGGGGGCCCGCACAAGCGGCGGAGCAUGUGGAUUAAUUCGAUGCAACGCGAAGAACCUUACCUGGGUUUGACAUGCACAGGACGCCGGCAGAGAUGUCGGUUCCCUUGUGGCCUGUGUGCAGGUGGUGCAUGGCUGUCGUCAGCUCGUGUCGUGAGAUGUUGGGUUAAGUCCCGCAACGAGCGCAACCCUUGUCCUAUGUUGCCAGCGGGUUAUGCCGGGGACUCGUAGGAGACUGCCGGGGUCAACUCGGAGGAAGGUGGGGAUGACGUCAAGUCAUCAUGCCCCUUAUGUCCAGGGCUUCACACAUGCUACAAUGGCCGGUACAAAGGGCUGCGAUGCCGUGAGGUGGAGCGAAUCCUUUCAAAGCCGGUCUCAGUUCGGAUCGGGGUCUGCAACUCGACCCCGUGAAGUCGGAGUCGCUAGUAAUCGCAGAUCAGCAACGCUGCGGUGAAUACGUUCCCGGGCCU